This 1125-nucleotide ribosomal RNA is filed under the name Triticum aestivum (bread wheat). Its description in RNAcentral is "partial small subunit ribosomal RNA". The record is from RNAcentral. Lineage: Eukaryota; Viridiplantae; Streptophyta; Magnoliopsida; Poales; Poaceae.
AUGUCUUCCUCCGGCUCCUCCCACCCAAACCUCAACCAGCAGGUCACGGAGAAGCUUACCCGCACGAACUAUGUGUUGUGGCGCGCCCAGAUCGCCCCGCAGCUGCGGGGCGCCGGUGUCUUCGGCUAUGCCGACGGCACCACACCAGAGCCGGCCCGACUCCUCGUCACCAAGGACAAAGACGGGAAAGAGUCAUCGACGCCCAACCCUCUCCACCCAAUUUGGGUACGGGAGGACCAGCAGGUUCUUGGUUACCUGCUCAACAAUCUGUCCAAGGAGGUCCUCGUGCAGGUGACCGCAAUCACCACGUCGCCCGCGCUCUGGGCUGCUCUGGCGGGCAUGUUCUCGUCUCAGUCGCUUAGCCGGGUGAACAAUAUUUGCACGGCCCUCAUCAACGCGCAGAAGGGGACUCAAUCCGUCUCCACCUACUUCGCCCACAUGCGCGGCCUCGCGGACGAACUCGCCGCGGCCGGCAAGCCUCUGCCAGAUGACGCGCUUGUCUCCUACAUUCUCCAUGGGCUGGACAUGGACUACCAGCCCCUGGUGUCUGCCCUCGACGCCCGCACCACGCCGGUCUCCAUCGAUGAGCUCUUCUCCAUGAUGAGCAACUUUGAUCAGCAUGUGGCGCUCUUCCAGUCCUCGGGCGGCUUCAAGUCGUCUGCCAACGCCGCCUACCGCGGCCGUGGCGGCGGCUCCUCUCAUCACUGCGGACCACCUCGCAACAAGGGCAAGGCCUCUGGCGGGGGCAACGGCAACAACACCACUCGCGGCGGCGGCAGACGGCCCUCUUCUGGCAACAACAGGGGCCGCCGCGGCGGCUCCACCAGAUCACGCCCGGAUGCACCUCGCUGCCAAAUCUGUGGUAAGCUAGGGCAUACGGCCAAAGACUGCUGGUACCGCUACGACGACGAUGGCGACUCCUCCCAAGAUGAAGACAAAGUUGUUGCUGCUGCGGAUGGCUCCUAUGGGAUCGACACCAACUGGUACGUCGAUAGUGGUGCCACCAACCACAUCACCAAUGAACUUGAGAAGGUGACCAUGAAGGAGAAAUACCGCGGCAAGGACCAAAUCCACACAGCUAGUGGUGAAGGAUCAGGCCACGAGGAGAAUUCUCUAUCGCGGUAG